RNAcentral lists this long non-coding RNA (227 nucleotides) under Rhipicephalus microplus (southern cattle tick). RNAcentral's name for it is "uncharacterized LOC119176224, transcript variant X1". The record is from RNAcentral. Lineage: Eukaryota; Metazoa; Arthropoda; Arachnida; Ixodida; Ixodidae.
CAAAAGCAGCAAGCAUUCGCAAGCAAGCAAGUUAAACGGGCGCCGUCCAAGGUAUCCUACGAGGCGGCGGGGGGACCCUCCCAGAGUGCGUAAUCCCCUUCCUCACGUACUUUUUCUUCAGUGCCCCCAUCUGCAUCUGAGGUAUCCUCCGUGGCGGCGCGGAGACCCUCCUAGAGUGCGUAAUCCCCUUCCUCACGUACUUGUUCUUCAGUACCCCCAUCUGCAUC